AUACGGAGGGUCCGAGCGUUAAUCGGAAUUACUGGGCGUAAAGCGCGCGUAGGUGGCUAUAUAAGUCAGAUGUGAAAGCCCUGGGCUCAACCUAGGAACUGCAUUUGAAACUGUAUGGCUAGAGUAUGGUAGAGGUGAGUGGAAUUUCAGGUGUAGCGGUGAAAUGCGUAGAGAUCUGAAGGAACAUCAGUGGCGAAGGCGACUCACUGGGCCAUUACUGACACUGAGGUGCGAAAGCGUGGGUAGCAAACAGGAUUAGAAACCCUUGUAGUCC
This 274-nucleotide ribosomal RNA is filed under the name uncultured bacterium. Its description in RNAcentral is "partial 16S ribosomal RNA". It matches the Rfam family "Bacterial small subunit ribosomal RNA", at positions 523 to 796 of the family's 1533-position model. The record is from RNAcentral.